Molecule: ribosomal RNA, 492 nt
Filed under: uncultured bacterium
Lineage: Bacteria
Description: partial 16S ribosomal RNA
Rfam family: Bacterial small subunit ribosomal RNA
Source: RNAcentral
AGUGAACGCUGGCGGUAGGCCUAACACAUGCAAGUCGAACGGCAGCACAGUAAGAGCUUGCUCUUACGGGUGGCGAGUGGCGGACGGGUGAGGAAUACAUCGGAAUCUACUUUUUCGUGGGGGAUAACGUAGGGAAACUUACGCUAAUACCGCAUACGACCUACGGGUGAAAGCAGGGGAUCUUCGGACCUUGCGCGAUUGAAUGAGCCGAUGUCGGAGUAGCUAGUUGGCGGGGUAAAGGCCCACCAAGGGGAGGAUCCGUAGCUGGUCUGAGAGGAUGGUCGCCGACCUGGGAGGUGGGCCAGCGACAAGGGGACUAAGGGACGGAGCAGUGGGGAACAGUGGACAACGGGGGCAAGCCUGACCCAGCCAGAGCGAGUGGGUGAAGAAGGCCCUGGGGUUGUAAAGCCCGUUUUUUGGGAAAGAAAAGCAGCCGGUUAAGACGCCGCUGUUGUGACGGUAAUCAAUGAAUAAGCACCGGCUAACUUCGUG